RNAcentral lists this ribosomal RNA (364 nucleotides) under Clostridioides difficile. RNAcentral describes it as "partial 23S ribosomal RNA". It matches the Rfam family "Bacterial large subunit ribosomal RNA", at positions 2559 to 2925 of the family's 2925-position model. The record is from RNAcentral. Lineage: Bacteria; Bacillati; Bacillota; Clostridia; Peptostreptococcales; Peptostreptococcaceae.
UAGGUCCCAAGGGUUGGGCUGUUCGCCCAUUAAAGUGGUACGCGAGCUGGGUUCAGAACGUCGUGAGACAGUUCGGUCCCUAUCCGUCGCAGGCGUAGGAAAUUUGAGAAGACCUGUCCUUAGUACGAGAGGACCGGGAUGGACGUACCUCUGGUGUACCAGUUGUUCUGCCAAGGGCAUGGCUGGGUAGCUAUGUACGGAAUGGAUAAGCGCUGAAAGCAUCUAAGCGCGAAGCCAACUUCAAGAUAAGAUUUCCCACCGCAAGGGUAAGACCCCAGAAAGACUAUCUGGUUGAUAGGUCGAAGGUGUAAGUGCAGCAAUGUAUUUAGCUUAUCGAUACUAAUAGGUCGAGGACUUGACCAAU